This 643-nucleotide non-coding RNA is filed under the name Pongo abelii (Sumatran orangutan). Lineage: Eukaryota; Metazoa; Chordata; Mammalia; Primates; Hominidae. The record is from RNAcentral.
GACAGCCGCGGGAAGACACGAGAGGCUGCUAGAAGGACUUCCCGCGGCCAGCGCCAUCACAUGCCCACGCCGCAGGGAGCCCUGACCAGAGCUCCAGACCUCUGGGUCCAACUGCCUUGUGGAUCCCUCUCCCUGAAUGUCGCAUAGGAGAGGAGACAGGGGUUGGCCACACACCUGGAAAUGGAGUUCUCUGAUGCAAUGUCCUUUGGGGUCCGGACUGUGGUGAAGGCUCGUCCAGCUCCACGCCCACCCACUGGCCGCUGGCAAACUCGGUGGUCCCACAGAACCGCAGUGUGCCCGUCUGGGGAGAGAAGGGAGGUGAUGGCUGAGGAAGGAAUGCUGGGAGGCAAACGUGGAGUGCCCCCACAGGGGCAGCAAGAAAAGAAGAGAGGGCAAUGCAACCAUGGAGGCAGAGACUGGAGAGAUGUGGCCACAAGCCAAGCACUGCCUGCAGCCACCAGAAACCGGAACAGGCAAAGAAGAGAUUCUCCCCCAGAACCUCCAGAGGAGUACAGCCCUGCCGACACCUUGGUUUUGGCCCAGGAAAGCCGAUUUGGACUCCUGGCCUCUAGAACUGUUAGAAAAUAAUUUGUCUUGUUUUAAGCCACCAAGUUUGUUAGAGCAGCAUGGGAAACUAAUAGCG